UUGAACGCUGGCGGCAGGCCUCACACAUGCAAGUCGAGCGGAUGAAGGGAGCUUGCUCCUGGAUUCAGCGGCGGACGGGUGAGUAAUGCCUAGGAAUCUGCCUGGUAGUGGGGGAUAACGUCCGGAAACGGGCGCUAAUACCGCAUACGUCCUGAGGGAGAAAGUGGGGGAUCUUCGGACCUCACGCUAUCAGAUGAGCCUAGGUCGGAUUAGCUAGUUGGUGGGGUAAAGGCCUACCAAGGCGACGAUCCGUAACUGGUCUGAGAGGAUGAUCAGUCACACUGGAACUGAGACACGGUCCAGACUCCUACGGGAGGCAGCAGUGGGGAAUAUUGGACAAUGGGCGAAAGCCUGAUCCAGCCAUGCCGCGUGUGAAGAAGGUCUUCGGAUUGUAAAGCACUUUAAGUUGGGAGGAAGGGCAGUAAGUUAAUACCUUGCUGUUUUGACGUUACCAACAGAAUAAGCACCGGCUAACUUCGUG
Molecule: ribosomal RNA, 481 nt
Filed under: uncultured bacterium
Lineage: Bacteria
Description: partial 16S ribosomal RNA
Rfam family: Bacterial small subunit ribosomal RNA
Source: RNAcentral